RNAcentral lists this transfer RNA (72 nucleotides) under Rattus norvegicus (Norway rat). It matches the Rfam family "tRNA". From Rfam's summary of the family: Transfer RNA (tRNA) molecules are approximately 80 nucleotides in length. Their secondary structure includes four short double-helical elements and three loops (D, anti-codon, and T loops). The record is from Rfam by way of RNAcentral. Lineage: Eukaryota; Metazoa; Chordata; Mammalia; Rodentia; Muridae.
UGGGGUGUGGCUCAGUGGUAUAGUAUCUGCUUAGCAUGCAGGAUGCCCUGAAUUUUAUUUUCAGAUUUCCAA